This is a long non-coding RNA of Balaenoptera musculus (blue whale), 591 nucleotides long. RefSeq lists it as uncharacterized. Lineage: Eukaryota; Metazoa; Chordata; Mammalia; Artiodactyla; Balaenopteridae. The transcript has 3 exons. The record is from RefSeq and is a predicted model, not a curated record.
UGCAGUCUGUCUCUUGGGUGUUUUAAGUGCACGCCAAACUGCAAGAUCUUCCUAAAGCCCAGCUUCGAUUCAGGAGGCUCUGCUAGGCAGCUGGUGAAUAAUGGGAUCAAAGGUUUGAACUGUGAAUAAGUUAUCACUAAUUUUCCUGUGCUCUUCUGCUAGCAAGAUGUCAGCAGCUCUCUUUGUUGUGAAUGCAUUUCCCAGAAUCUGGCCUGAUGGAUACAAAAAGAAAAUUUGAUCCUCAUUCAAGAAGAUAUGCAUCUCACCCCCAGAAGUGGGUCAGAGAAAUGGGCAUCCUGCCAUACCCCAAAGUGCACCCUACAAAUGGGUCAAUUGAAGGCAGGUGGCCCUGCGGCAGCUCUAUCCAUGCUUGUUUACCAACCACAUCCAUGCAGCCUGUCUCCUUGCCCAAGUCAGCCAAACCUCCCUGAAGACCUAUUGGAGGAGCUCCCUCAUGACAGAGCAGAGGAAGAAACCCUAUCUAACACCAAGACUCACCAAGAGAACAAAAGACCUGUGCAGGCAGUAUACAGCAUGAUCUGACCCUCAUAGCGUCUUCUUUUCUGUAUUUGCAGGUGGCCUCAAGAACCA